This 105-nucleotide small nuclear RNA is filed under the name Carlito syrichta (Philippine tarsier). The record is from RNAcentral. Lineage: Eukaryota; Metazoa; Chordata; Mammalia; Primates; Tarsiidae.
GGGCUCACUUUGGCAGUUCAUGUACUAAAAUUGGAACAAUACAGAGAAGAUCAGCAUGGCCCCUGGGAGGGUGGCAAGCAACUUCAUGAGAGGUUAGAAAAUCUC